RNAcentral lists this ribosomal RNA (472 nucleotides) under uncultured bacterium. RNAcentral describes it as "bacterial SSU rRNA". It matches the Rfam family "Bacterial small subunit ribosomal RNA", at positions 355 to 825 of the family's 1533-position model. The record is from RNAcentral.
UGGGGAAUUUUGGACAAUGGGCGAAAGCCUGAUCCAGCCAUGCCGCGUGUGUGAAGAAGGUCUUCGGAUUGUAAAGCACUUUAAGUUGGGAGGAAGGGCAGUAACCUAAUACGUUGCUGUCUUGACGUUACCGACAGAAUAAGCACCGGCUAACUCUGUGCCAGCAGCCGCGGUAAUACAGAGGGUGCAAGCGUUAAUCGGAAUUACUGGGCGUAAAGCGCGCGUAGGUGGUUUGUUAAGUUGGAUGUGAAAUCCCCGGGCUCAACCUGGGAACUGCAUUCAAAACUGACUGACUAGAGUAUGGUAGAGGGUGGUGGAAUUUCCUGUGUAGCGGUGAAAUGCGUAGAUAUAGGAAGGAACACCAGUGGCGAAGGCGACCACCUGGACUGAUACUGACACUGAGGUGCGGAAGCGUGGGGAGCAAACAGGAUUAGAUACCCCCGUAGUCCCUGAGCGGGCUGGCAAGGCGCAU